GACGUAGGAUGCGAGCGUUGUCCGGAUUCAUUGGGCGUAAGAGUUCGUAGGCGGUUUGUUAAGUCUGAUGUAAAAGGCUCGGGCCCAACCCGAGUAUCGCAUUGGAUACUGGCAGACUGGAGUGCAGUAGAGGCAAGUGGAAUUCCCAGUGUAGCGGUGAAAUGCGUAGAUAUCGGGAGGAAUACCUAUGGCGAAAGCAGGCUACUGGACCAUCACUGACGCUGAUCUGCGAAAGCUAGGGGAGCAAACAGG
Molecule: ribosomal RNA, 252 nt
Filed under: uncultured bacterium
Lineage: Bacteria
Description: partial 16S ribosomal RNA
Rfam family: Bacterial small subunit ribosomal RNA
Source: RNAcentral